RNAcentral lists this ribosomal RNA (253 nucleotides) under uncultured bacterium. RNAcentral's name for it is "partial 16S ribosomal RNA". It matches the Rfam family "Bacterial small subunit ribosomal RNA", at positions 524 to 776 of the family's 1533-position model. The record is from RNAcentral.
UACGGGGGGAGCAAGCGUUGUUCGGAUUUACUGGGCGUAAAGGGCGCGUAGGCGGCGCAACAAGUCACUUGUGAAAUCUCCGGGCUUAACCCGGAGCGGCCAAGUGAUACUGUCGUGCUAGAGUGCGGAAGGGGCUACUGGAAUUCUCGGUGUAGCGGUGAAAUGCGUAGAUAUCGAGAGGAACACCUGCGGCGAAGGCGGGUUGCUGGGCCGACACUGACGCUGAGGCGCGAAAGCCAGGGGAGCGAACGGG